This 310-nucleotide ribosomal RNA is filed under the name uncultured eukaryote. RNAcentral describes it as "partial 18S ribosomal RNA". It matches the Rfam family "Eukaryotic small subunit ribosomal RNA", at positions 1470 to 1796 of the family's 1831-position model. The record is from RNAcentral.
CCCUUAGAUGUUCUGGGCUGCACGCGUGCUACACUGAUUACUUCAACAAGUGUUUUAACUGGAGAGUUCGCGUAAUCCUGAAAUGUUAUCGUGAUGGGAGUAGAGUAUUGUAUUUGUUAAUCUUUAACGAGGAAUUCCUAGUAAGUGUAGGUUUAUAAGUUGUUCUGAUUACGUCCCUGCCCUUUGUACACACCGCCCGUCGCUCCUACCGAUUGAUUGAUCCGGCGAAUUACAUAGAAUUUUGCGUUUUACAUGACGGAAGAUGAAGUGUUUUAAACCUUAUCAUUUAGAGGAAGGAGAAGUCGUAACA